This 81-nucleotide non-coding RNA is filed under the name unclassified sequences. Its description in RNAcentral is "skipping-rope RNA". It matches the Rfam family "skipping-rope RNA". From Rfam's summary of the family: Firmicutes, Fusobacteria, AlphaProteobacteria, Spirochaetes. Downstream gene The record is from Rfam by way of RNAcentral.
UAUUGUUGAGGUCGGAAAUGGUUCCCGACGCACCUUGAAAGAGGUACCUGAGAUGCAGGAUACACCGCCCUGCCAGCAACC